UUACACUGUGCGUUAGUAUCCAACACGGAUAUCUGUCGUGUAGAAGUCUAAAUACUAGUUAACCUCUAAAACUGGAUAUAUUUUCUUCAGAUAAAAUAUUUAUAGGUCUCAGAAAAUGGAGGAUAGAUAAUUGAUCCACUGGUGUACCUAUCGUUCGUAUUGGAACCCAUAAAAGUUGUUCAGCGUCCCUUAACAAGUAGAACUUUCGUGUUGAGGUUGUCGGAAACAAGAAAAUGGAAAUUGUAGAAGAAAAGAGAAAACGACAAAAAGUGCAGUUGUCAUGGUAAUGGAUCAGAAAUAAAUAACAAGCCAUAAACUCAUUAUUCACAUUAUGUAAGUAUCUACUUCUCAUACAUUACAUAGGCCUACAUGACACGUAUAAUAAUGAGUUAGGUCAUUUGACAAAACCAUAAUUUAAAAAAAAGAAAAGUCAGUGGAAACCGAGCUUGUUCGAUUCUACCAAAUGUAAAAAGAAUCAUACUGCAGUAAUAUUUGAAUCCAGUUAUUUCACCUUUGCAUGUGUUUUCAAUCACAAGCCUCAAGUUUAGAAUUGCAUUGCAAAGUAAUCUCUCUGUACAGUUUCUUCUUAAACGCUUUUGAUGUAAAAGUGUUUUUGCAUUAGGCCGAUAGACUAAUGAUGGGUGACUAAUUUAUUCGAUUUUGUUUUUGUUUUACUUGUAACGUUAUUUGUUUUUGUGGGGUUAUACACAAAUGGCUUGUUAUUUCUGAUCGAAGUUUGUGCUCCCAAAUUACAGAUGUAAUGCAAUGCAGCUUGUGAAAGUGAAUAAAUGAGUAAGGACACUAACGAACGAAAUGUUCAGUCAAACGAUAUAGGCCAGCUAUUUCACUAAAACAGUACACAAACAUAGGCCCAUUAUAAAUACACUUAUUAUGUAUAAAUACGAAAGAUAAUGCUCAAUAUUUCAUAGAUUUCCUUGGUUGUAAUUUGAAUUCUUAGGCCUAUUUAUACUGGUAAAAAUAUAACAUACUCGAGUAUAACAGCUGGCUGAAAUUGGAUUGGAUUUUAUUGGAUUUUAUUUGGUGUUAAAUACACCAAGAAUAACCCAUGGAAGCCAGAAGACUUGCUUCCCGUAGAGAUCUGAUGGUGAAAUUCACCUAUAUACUAUAUCAAUUUAGUAUUGCAAUUUUGAUUUGGGGUUAAGAUUCUCUUAUGAUUGAGAUCGAUCGAGUUUAGAAACAAAAAAAUGUACGGUUAAUUAAACGCUAAAUCAGUUCAGUAGGAAAAAAAAGUACAGACAGGCAAUUUUUCAGCAAACGAAGGUUGUUUUUUUUUUCUGUAGGCUACCAAUAGUUAUUGGCUUUAUCCAGUCUAAUUUGCAUAUAAAUUGUAACAUUCCUUGAGAAAUCCUCUGAAUUAUAAGCAAUCACGGAUUUACUGUGGUAUCUUGUCGUGUAUUCCCCUCUUGUUAGGAGAUUAUCGUCCGUUUUCAAUUAUCCGCCCGAAAGUAUUAGUAGGACCACUUACAAACAUCAUAAUCGGUACUUAAUCGCUGGAAAACAAUUGAGAAUAAUAUAAAUGGAAACAUUGGCAAACUAAAAUUACUAAAAAUAAAAAUUAAUUAAAAAAAAUAUUAUA
RNAcentral lists this long non-coding RNA (1597 nucleotides) under Anneissia japonica. Its description in RNAcentral is "uncharacterized LOC117121153". Lineage: Eukaryota; Metazoa; Echinodermata; Crinoidea; Comatulida; Comatulidae. The record is from RNAcentral.